CCUCCAGAUGUUGUUGAACUACAACUCUCAUGAUUCCAUGUAUGAAAUAGAUAGGCUGAGAAUCAUGGGAAUUGUAGUUCAGCAACAUCUGAAGG
Pelobates cultripes (western spadefoot toad) is the source of this 95-nucleotide non-coding RNA. The record is from the annotation of a GenBank genome assembly. Lineage: Eukaryota; Metazoa; Chordata; Amphibia; Anura; Pelobatidae.